This 465-nucleotide ribosomal RNA is filed under the name uncultured bacterium. Its description in RNAcentral is "partial 16S ribosomal RNA". It matches the Rfam family "Bacterial small subunit ribosomal RNA", at positions 28 to 507 of the family's 1533-position model. The record is from RNAcentral.
GACGAACGCUGGCGGCGUGCUUAACACAUGCAAGUCGAACGGAAGGGCCCCCUUGUGGGGUACUCGAGUGGCGAACGGGUGAGUAACACGUGAGUAACCUACCCUUGACUUUGGGAUAACUUCAGGAAACUGGGGCUAAUACCGGAUAGGAGCUCCUGCUGCAUGGUGGGGGUUGGAAAGUUUCGGCGGUUGGGGAUGGACUUGCGGCUUAUCAGCUUGUUGGUGGGGUAGUGGCUCACCAAGGCUUUGACGGGUAGCCGGCCUGAGAGGGUGACCGGCCACAUUGGGACUGAGAUACGGCCCAGACUCCUACGGGAGGCAGCAGUGGGGAAUAUUGCACAAUGGGCGGAAGCCUGAUGCAGCAACGCCGCGUGCGGGAUGACGGCCUUCGGGUUGUAAACCGCUUUCGCCUGUGACGAAGCGUGAGUGACGGUAAUGGGUAAAGAAGCACCGGCUAACUACGUG